GACUCUGUUUGUUCGCUUGUUAUUCCUUUAUUUUAACUGUAGAGUCGUGCCUCGAGGAGUUUGGGACACUUUGAAUUCUGUUAUUCCCUAGUGUCGAGGUCCUGAUUCUUUGAAUCAAUAUCGUCUGAUUAGUCAUUGUAUAAAUGUCGAAGAGAGAGUUCGGUAAAGGCAUUAGUUAUGGUACUAACGAUGAGGACUCCGCUUUGGGACGUCAACUGAUCGGGUCUUGGAACCAUUAAGGAAUUCUGUAGUUGGCCCUCUCAUUGAAGUUGAAGAAAACCUUAAGAGAUUGUUGGAAUAGAUUGUGUAGUUGGAACUUCAGCGGUCUCUAUAUGCUACUAAAUGACAGUAUUUUGAGUACAAUCUGCGCUGUUCCGAUUGCCAGACACAGCAAAGUGCAUUGGAAUUCAGCGAUUUUACCAUACACCGGCCUAUGAGAUUGCCCAUGAUGUUGCUGAGAUGAAUACAAGCCACAUGAACCGGGAUUGUGUGCGGAAAUUCGACACUCUUCUGAGAUCAAGCAUAUCAUUUGGCAAUGUCUUCUCAAUAGUAUCACUGCCCAAGCUACAUUAGCAAGUGUCUGUCCACAAUGUAGUCUUCAACCUGUGACUACUCUACGCCUUCCCACAGAUGGCCCAGUCGCUGCGACCUUUUGAAAUGCUUUAAAUAUUUCACCUCGGCAAGGAAUUCAUUUGGAAAGAAUCUUGGGGACAGGCCUAGAAUUCCUUGAAAGAAAUGGGAAUAUGUCGCAGUCACUGAUGCUAAAAGCAAAACGGGGAAGAGAGCGAGAACGUUAUGCAAA
Syzygium oleosum is the source of this 802-nucleotide long non-coding RNA. RefSeq lists it as uncharacterized. NCBI's taxonomy places the organism in Eukaryota, Viridiplantae, Streptophyta, Magnoliopsida, Myrtales, Myrtaceae. The record is from RefSeq and is a predicted model, not a curated record. The transcript has 2 exons.